GCUGGGCGUGGUGGCGCAUGCCUGUAAUCCCAGCUACUCAAGAGGCUGAGGCAGGAGAAUUGCUUGAACCCAGGAGGUGGAGGUUGCAGUGAGCUGAGAUUGUGCCACUGCACUCCAGCCUGGGUGACAGAGUGAGACUCCGUCUCAA
RNAcentral lists this non-coding RNA (148 nucleotides) under Chlorocebus sabaeus (green monkey). The record is from Rfam by way of RNAcentral. Lineage: Eukaryota; Metazoa; Chordata; Mammalia; Primates; Cercopithecidae.